RNAcentral lists this long non-coding RNA (1411 nucleotides) under Homo sapiens (human). RNAcentral describes it as "long intergenic non-protein coding RNA 1968". Lineage: Eukaryota; Metazoa; Chordata; Mammalia; Primates; Hominidae. The record is from RNAcentral.
AAGUGAGUCCUGUUCAGCGUGGGAGGAAAUAACACAAGAGGCAAAGAUCACUCGGGACCACCUUGUAUAUUGGCUACCACAGAACCCAACACAAGCAGUAAGUUAAAAUCAUGAAGCUCCUGACGUCAGAGGACAUGGCUCUGCCAUUUGUUAGGUAGGGAUCCUGUUAAAGGCUCAGCUUCCUCAUCUGGAAAUGGAAAUAUAGGCCUUGCCUGGUUUGCUGUAAUGGGUCGUGAUGAGGACCAAACUACAAAGAGUGGUACAGAUGUUAAUUACAAUGAUUUUUCCUAUGCCACCCAUGGAAACAAAAAUAGCAAGAUAGAGAAGGCUAAAUCCCAGUUUUUUUUGACUGCUAUUCAGCAAAGCCUAGGAGACUUUCAUGACACCUGGAGAGGCGGCCGUAGUGUAUGUGUAAGAGUACCGGUUCCAGAGUGGGGCUCCCCGAGCUCAGCCCCACCACUUACCAACAGCGGACCUUGGGCCAGAUGCUGAAGCCCUUUGUGCCUUGGUUUCCUGACCUAUUACUGUGGAAAUGAUGACAGUACCCUCCUCAUGGCAUCGUGAGAAUUAAAUUAGCUAAUUCAGGUGAAGCAUUUAGAAGAGGACCUCCUGACACUUAAUAACUGCUUGAUAUAAAUAAUAGCUUCUGCUACAGAGUGGCCAUGAAGUCUGGACAUGUAGAUAUUAUAUUAUCAUGCAUCAUAAGGUAGUUGAUCUGGUGUGAGAUUCCAACCUCGUGUGAGAGAGGAGAAGACCUUCAUUACACUAAUUCAUGCUGGCCCAGCCUCCAGGCCACCCCAGAUGUGAGGUGCUGUUAACACUGCUCUCAGAGAUGGAGUCUUGCUCUGUCUCCCAGGCUGGAGUGCAGUGGUGUAAUCUCGGCUCACUGCAACCUCUGCCUCCCGGGUUCAAGUGAUUCUCCUGCCUCAGCCUCGGAGUAGCUGGGACCACAGCACUGCAAUGAAUGCUGCUGCACACGCUGUUGAGCUCGUGGACACUUUCCUGCUGGGUGAGGACCCGAACGUGAAAUUGCUGGGUCAUGGAUUCAAGUGCUACACAUAUUUUUGACCACAUUACUGUGACUCAGGAAGCCCAGGAACAGAAUUCUAGGCACCAGAACCAUACAUGUUACAGCCUCUGAGCUUUAUGGCCUCUGAGCCAUUUGUCCAGCCACAUCAUUUGCAGAUGAGAUCCUGAGACUCAGGCUGGAAAAGUGACCGGGGAAAAGUCACACAAGUCAGAGGCAGAGCUGGAGUUUCCUCAUUUCCAGGCCCGUAUAGAUCAAGACGGACGUUGGUCAAACACCUCCUAGUACUCACAUGAAGAAGCUCUCCUUUCUGCUGUAGGAAUGAUCACACACCAUUCCAAUCUGGAUACCAAAUGUCAUUGUUUAUUAAAUGUGUGCAGUGUG